GACGAACGCUGGCGGCGUGCUUAACACACGCAAGUCGAACGGAAAGGCCCUGCUUUUGUGGGGUGCUCGAGUGGCGAACGGGUGAGUAACACGAGAGUAACCUGCCCUUGACUUUGGGAUAACUUCAGGAAACUGGGGCUAAUACCGGAUAGGAGCUCCUGCUGCAUGGUGGGGGUUGGAAAGUUUCGGCGGUUGGGGAUGGACUCGCGGCUUAUCAGCUUGUUGGUGGGGUAGUGGCUUACCAAGGCUUUGACGGGUAGCCGGCCUGAGAGGGUGACCGGCCACAUUGGGACUGAGAUACGGCCCAGACUCCUACGGGAGGCAGCAGUGGGGAAUAUUGCACAAUGGGCGGAAGCCUGAUGCAGCAACGCCGCGUGCGGGAUGACGGCCUUCGGGUUGUAAACCGCUUUCGCCUGUGACGAAGCGUGAGUGACGGUAAUGGGUAAAGAAGCACCGGCUAACUACGUG
Molecule: ribosomal RNA, 468 nt
Filed under: uncultured bacterium
Lineage: Bacteria
Description: partial 16S ribosomal RNA
Rfam family: Bacterial small subunit ribosomal RNA
Source: RNAcentral